UACGUAGGGGGCAAGCGUUAUCCGGAAUUACUGGGCGUAAAGGGCGCGUAGCCCGCCUUCUAAGUCGAACGUGAAAUCCCCGGGCUCAACCCGGGAACUGCGUCCGAUACUGGAAGGCUUGAAUCCGGGAGAGGGAUGCGGAAUUCCAGGUGUAGCGGUGAAAUGCGUAGAUAUCUGGAGGAACACCGGUGGCGAAGGCGGCAUCCUGGACCGGCAUUGACGCUGAGGCGCGAAAGCCAGGGGAGCAAACGGG
Molecule: ribosomal RNA, 253 nt
Filed under: uncultured bacterium
Lineage: Bacteria
Description: partial 16S ribosomal RNA
Rfam family: Bacterial small subunit ribosomal RNA
Source: RNAcentral